Molecule: ribosomal RNA, 379 nt
Filed under: uncultured bacterium
Lineage: Bacteria
Description: bacterial SSU rRNA
Rfam family: Bacterial small subunit ribosomal RNA
Source: RNAcentral
AUGCAAGUCGAGCGGGCAUUUUCGGAUGUCAGCGGCAGACGGGUGAGUAACACGUGGGAACGUACCCUUCGGUUCGGAACAACUCUGGGAAACUGGAGCUAAUACCGGAUACGCCCUUAUGGGGAAAGGUUUACUGCCGAAGGAUCGGCCCGCGUCUGAUUAGCUAGUUGGUGGGGUAACGGCCUACCAAGGCGACGAUCAGUAGCUGGUCUGAGAGGAUGAUCAGCCACACUGGGACUGAGACACGGCCCAGACUCCUACGGGAGGCAGCAGUGGGGAAUAUUGGACAAUGGGCGCAAGCCUGAUCCAGCCAUGCCGCGUGAGUGAUGAAGGCCUUAGGGUUGUAAAGCUCUUUUGUCCGGGACGAUAAUGACGGUAC